This 27-nucleotide non-coding RNA is filed under the name Homo sapiens (human). The record is from RNAcentral. Lineage: Eukaryota; Metazoa; Chordata; Mammalia; Primates; Hominidae.
GGUGAUGUGAGAUAUGUGCCAGGUUCU